GGUUCAAUGGUCUAGUGGUUAUGAUUUCUGUCUCACACACAGGAGGUCCCCGGUUCGACCCCGGGUUGAACCA
This is a non-coding RNA of Leucoagaricus sp. SymC.cos, 73 nucleotides long. Lineage: Eukaryota; Fungi; Basidiomycota; Agaricomycetes; Agaricales; Agaricaceae. The record is from Rfam.